Molecule: long non-coding RNA, 2336 nt
Organism: Oncorhynchus keta (chum salmon)
Lineage: Eukaryota; Metazoa; Chordata; Actinopteri; Salmoniformes; Salmonidae
Exons: 7
Source: RefSeq, a predicted model, not a curated record
UCAGUAAGGUAGAGACAACAAUACAUCACACAAAGCAGCCACAACAGUCAGUAAGGUAGAGACAACAAUACAUCACACAAAGCAGCCACAACAGUCAGUAGAGACAACAAUACAUCACACAAAGCAGCCACAACAGUCAGUAAGGUAGAGACAACAAUACAUCACACAAAGCAGGCACAACAGUCAGUAAGGUAGAGACAACAAUACAUCACACAAAGCAGCCACAACAGUCAGUAAGGUAGAGACAACAAUACAUCACACAAAGCAGCCACAACAGUCAGUAGAGACAACAAUACAUCACACAAAGCAGCCACAACAGUCAGUAGAGACAACAAUACAUCACACAAAGCAGCCACAACAGUCAGUAAGGUAGAGACAACAAUACAUCACACAAAGCAGCCACAACAGUCAGUAAGGUAGAGACAACAAUACAUCACACAAAGCAGCCACAACAGUCAGUAAGGUAGAGACAACAAUACAUCACACAAAGCAGCCACAACAGUCAGUAAGGUAGAGACAACAAUACAUCACACAAAGCAGCCACAACAGUCAGUAAGGUAGAGACAACAAUACAUCACACAAAGCAGCCACAACAGUCAGUAAGGUAGAGACAACAAUACAUCACACAAAGCAGCCACAACAGUCAGUAGAGACAACAAUACAUCACACAAAGCAGCCACAACAGUCAGUAAGGUAGAGACAACAAUACAUCACACAAAGCAGCCACAACGAUCAGUAGAGACAACAAUACAUCACACAAAGCAGCCACAACAGUCAGUAGAGACAACAAUACAUUACACAAAGCAGCCACAACAGUCAGUAAGGUAGAGACAACAAUACAUCACACAAAGCAGGCACAACAGUCAGUAAGGUAGAGACAACAAUACAUCACACAAAGCAGCCACAACAGUCAGUAAGGUAGAGACAACAAUACAUCACACAAAGCAGCCACAACAGUCAGUAAGGUAGAGACAACAAUACAUCACACAAAGCAGCCACAACAGUCAGUAAGGUAGAGACAACAAUACAUCACACAAAGCAGCCACAACAGUCAGUAAGGUAGAGACAACAAUACAUCACACAAAGCAGCCACAACAGUCAGUAAGGUAGAGACAACAAUACAUCACACAAAGCAGCCACAACAGUCAGUAAGGUAGAGACAACAAUACAUCACACAAAGCAGCCACAACAGUCAGUAAGGUAGAGACAACAAUACAUCACACAAAGCAGCCACAACAGUCAGUAAGGUAGAGACAACAAUACAUCACACAAAGCAGCCACAACAGUCAGUAAGGUAGAGACAACAAUACAUCACACAAAGCAGCCACAACAGUCAGUAAGGUAGAGACAACAAUACAUCACACAAAGCAGCCACAACAGUCAGUAGAGACAACAAUACAUCACACAAAGCAGCCACAACAGUCAGUAAGGUAGAGACAACAAUACAUCACACAAAGCAGCCACAACAGUCAGUAAGGUAGAGACAACAAUACAUCACACAAAGCAGCCACAACAGUCAGUAAGGUAGAGACAACAAUACAUCACACAAAGCAGCCACAACAGUCAGUAAGGUAGAGACAACAAUACAUCACACAAAGCAGCCACAACAGUCAGUAAGGUAGAGACAACAAUACAUCACACAAAGCAGCCACAACAGUCAGUAGAGACAACAAUACAUCACACAAAGCAGCCACAACAGUCAGUAAGGUAGAGACAACAAUACAUCACACAAAGCAGCCACAACAGUCAGUAAGGUAGAGACAACAAUACAUCACACAAAGCAGCCACAACAGUCAGUAAGGUAGAGACAACAAUACAUCACACAAAGCAGCCACAACAGUCAGUAGAGACAACAAUACAUCACACAAAGCAGCCACAACAGUCAGUAGAGACAACAAUACAUCACACAAAGCAGCCACAACAGUCAGUAAGGUAGAGACAACAAUACAUCACACAAAGCAGCCACAACAGUCAGUAAGGUAGAGACAACAAUACAUCACACAAAGCAGCCACAACAGUCAGUAAGGUAGAGACAACAAUACAUCACACAAAGCAGCCACAACAGUCAGUAAGGUAGAGACAACAAUACAUCACACAAAGCAGCCACAACAGUCAGUAAGGUAGAGACAACAAUACAUCACACAAAGCAGCCACAACAGUCAGUAAGGUAGAGACAACAAUACAUCACACAAAGCAGCCACAACAGUCAGUAGAGACAACAAUACAUCACACAAAGCAGCCACAACAGUCAGUAAGGUAGAGACAACAAUACAUCACACAAAGCAGCCACAACAGUCAGUAAGGUAGAGACAACAAUACAUUACACAAAGCAGCCA